CGGGGUGCACCAGGCGCGAAAACUCUACAAUGCAGGCAACUGCGAUAGGGGAACAUCGAGUGGCGUCCAUAUUGGAUGUCUGUCCUCCCGCCUAAAAAGCGGGAGUUAGCAAGGGCCGGGCAAGACCGGUGCCAGCCGCCGCGGUAAUACCGGCGGCUCGAGUGGUGGCCGAUAUUAUUGAGUCUAAAGGGUCCGUAGCCGGCUUUGCAAGUCUCUCGGGAAAUCCAGCGGCUUAACCGUUGGUCGUCCGGGGGGUACUACAUUGCUUGGGACUGGGAGAGGUAGGAGGUACUCAGGGGGUAGGAGUGAAAUCCUGUAAUCCUUUGGGGACCACCGGUGGCGAAGGCGUCCUACCAGAACAGGUCCGACGGUGAGGGACGAAGGCUAGGGGCACGAACCGGAUUAGAUACCCGGGUAGUCCUAGCCGUAAACGAUGCUCGCUAGGUGUCACAACAGUCGUGAACUGUUGUGGUGCCGUAGGGAAGCCGUGAAGCGAGCCACUUGGGAAGUACGACCGCAAGGUUGAAACUUAAAGGAAUUGGCGGGGGAGCACAA
Molecule: ribosomal RNA, 555 nt
Filed under: uncultured archaeon
Lineage: Archaea
Description: bacterial SSU rRNA
Rfam family: Archaeal small subunit ribosomal RNA
Source: RNAcentral